CCACGAUAUGGGCAUCGA
This 18-nucleotide small RNA is filed under the name Bombyx mori (domestic silkworm). RNAcentral describes it as "ovarian small RNA-13507". The record is from RNAcentral. Lineage: Eukaryota; Metazoa; Arthropoda; Insecta; Lepidoptera; Bombycidae.